This 370-nucleotide ribosomal RNA is filed under the name uncultured organism. RNAcentral's name for it is "bacterial SSU rRNA". It matches the Rfam family "Bacterial small subunit ribosomal RNA", at positions 526 to 896 of the family's 1533-position model. The record is from RNAcentral.
CGUAGGGUGCGAGCGUUAAUCGGAAUUACUGGGCGUAAAGCGUGCGCAGGCGGUUUUGUAAGACAGAUGUGAAAUCCCCGGGCUCAACCUGGGACCUGCAUUUGUGACUGCAAGGCUAGAGUACGGUAGAGGGGGAUGGAAUUCCGCGUGUAGCAGUGAAAUGCGUAGAUAUGCGGAGGAACACCGAUGGCGAAGGCAAUCCCCUGGACCCGUACUGACGCUCAUGCACGAAAGCGUGGGGAGCAAACAGGAUUAGAUACCCUGAUAGUCCACGCCCUAAACGAUGUCAACUGGUUGUUGGGUCUUUACUGACUCAGUAACGAAGCUAACGCGUGAAGUUGACCGCCUGGGGAGUACGGCCGCAAGGUUG